UUUGAAGUCCUGUAUGAAUGUUUAGCUGAUGAACUGAAAUAGGAAUCAAACUCAUUAACGUAUCUCUGCUAUCAGGUGACUAUUAUUUGAGAGUCUUGUUGGAACAAAACGACGAGGAGACGCCGAUAACAAAUGUGCUCGAGUUGUCUAACGAUCUGUAUCACUGAUUCCUAUUGACAACUAAACCAACUAUGAAAGCAAUGUGCCUUCAGGCGAUGACUAAAGUUUAUGGAAAAUAUCACGAAGAGAUUGGAGC
This 256-nucleotide long non-coding RNA is filed under the name Dendronephthya gigantea. RNAcentral describes it as "uncharacterized LOC114543505". The record is from RNAcentral. Lineage: Eukaryota; Metazoa; Cnidaria; Anthozoa; Malacalcyonacea; Nephtheidae.